AGCUUUGACUUUUGUAGCAGAUCCCUUCGUAGAUUUAGGCUGAAGCUAAGUUCCUCCCCCCCGCCCCCUUUGUGCCAGCGCUGAGGAAAGCACAAAGAGGUACCGCAAGUGGGGUAGUGGUAAUGGAACCCCAUUCUUAAGAGGUCCAAUUUUCAGGCUGCCUUGAGACUGGCAGUUGCUCUCUCAUCAGUGGCUGUGAGCUCUGAGAACCAUCCAGAGACUGGGGGAUGCUCUGUUUCUGGUGUGCACACAUCCAGCUUAACUGGGCCCCAUCUGUGCUGUGCUUGUAGACAGCUUACAACUUGGCUGUAGACUUUGAGCCAGGCAGAGCUGGGGAGGGUGCUCCUGGCAGCAGUGGCGACCAUUACAACAGAGUGUAAGUCAGCACGGCCGGUGGAAGGCGCGAGGUCACUGCUGACCAGUCUGAACUUCAAAACUCUCUCGCUAUUGUUGGCCAGUGUAUCUCUUAGCAGCAAAUCUAUUCAACGGGCAACGGUCCAUUUCUACUGCUUGGUGUUGAGCUUGCAGGUCUCGUCCAGCACCUGUGAGGCAAACUCAGGACUGGUUUCUUUCCUGUGCAUCCCUUUCAAUGGUAAGAGGGCUUUGGCAGCCACACACUUCCUGAGACCCGUUUCUGUGUUUGGUAUGAAGGUGUGAGAGGCACAUUUUGCUCAUCAGGUGAACUCCCUUCCAGAGGGGAACUCUGCUUUCAGAGGGAAUGGAAAGAGAGGCUCUGUAGUCCCGAAUGUCUCAUCCCUUUCAAUGGCUACAUAAAUAAACUGCCUAAGGAAAUCAGAAGAGACUUAAGCCAAACCCAGGCCCCGUAGGUACAGUGCUACAGACCUCCAGAAGAAGGCCAGCUAUUUUGCUUUUGCUAGUUGUUUUGCUAUUAUUUGAAUGGUGGUGGCUGGAGAUGUGGCCAGGCAGGAGGUGGGCAUGGAGUUGUCUUCUUGUAGCCAGGUACUGCUCCAUAUGACCAGCACUGGCAUCUAACACCCCCAGUUCCACUGUCUAGAGAUGGGAUGACAUGCCAUGCUCUGCAUCUAGGGCCCUCAGACUCUCGGCUGUCAGUAUCUAGAAUUAUGUCUGGCUGUUUGGCAUGUGCAAAUGUGGACCAAACAAGAGUUGUGGUAAAGGUGCUGUAGAAGUCCUGCUGAGUUAGAAGCUAAUGUGAACUGAGCCCUCUAAAGCACACAAUCUCAACUCCCUUGGGGGGGGGCACAUAUGGCCCCAUGCCUGAAAAAUACUUGCUCUCAGCAAUUGCAUAUAACCUGUCUCUACUUAGACAGUCAGAACUUCCAGACCCUCCUGAUAGCCUCAGACAACCCACGAGGGCGGCAGAAAGCCCUUGCCUGGCUUCUCAGUGGAUCAAGUCUGCAAGGCAGUGAUAGGGGUGGGUGAGUGGCUUUCCCUGAGACAGGAGUGAGGUCUGUGAUUCCUCCCAGGGGUGGGGGCUGCGGUGGUGGUGCAGCAGCCAUCUGCUUUGAGGAUUGUGGACGCCUUGAGGAAUGAGCCUCACUUUUGGAGCCAGCCUGUCCAUACAGAGUCCACUAAUCUGCACCUCUGUUUAGAAACGAUGAUCCAGUUCAGUGAGAAGGCUGAGCAUGCAACGCUGGGAUUCCUGGCUGGGCAGCAGGCUAGCGUUCCAAGCUGGGGACGGAGACUCCAGAGAGCAGUUUCUCCGGCAUGCUCCACCUCUGAUCAAUCACAGACUAAAUAGAGCACCCUUGGGGUAAUUUGAUUUUUGCAUUUCACAUUCUAUGGUAGAACAAAGAGCUUUUACGUUUUGUGUUCUUUGAUAAAGAGUCACAAUUAGGUCUUUUAGCUGGAAGUUUUUUUGUUUGUUUGUUUUUCUCCGAACUAUAAAUGUAAUAAAAACAAAAAUAGGGUUUAACACACUGUCUGUGACUUGCUCUUUCAGCAGACGAGGUAAGCUCUUCUGAAAACUUUGGGAUUGUUCAUCUUGCCUUCUGUACAAAGGAGCAGAUCCUUCCAGUCCUUCCACUGAGAAGGUUGGUGCUGAGCCUGCGCAUGGCGUGAUGCUGUGUAAGUAGGUGGGCAGUGGAAUGCGGCACACGGUGAGUGGCCCGCAGCUUAAAAAGUAAAUUUAAUCUGAUUCUGAUACUGUUAUUUUAUGGAAAUGGCGAUGGUAAUGCCACCAAGGCUCAAUUCCACAGCUGUUCCCUCAGCGGCUAAAGACAGAAUUAAUUAGUUUCAGGGGAAGUAGCUUUCAUUUUGCAAUGACACCUACUGUUCCUCAGACAGUGGAGCAGGCACUGGGACGGAGAGGUUUUAAAACCUGAAAUCUCCUGGUUGGCAAUCUUCCAGCUCGGAUUUGGCCAGAGCAGAGCUUGGGAGCUUGCAGGCUACAGUCGAGCAUCUGCCUGCUGCCCAGCCUGGCCGCUUGGGCAGUACCCGAUGACACUGCACAAUGCUGUUGUGACCAGACUAGCUAGCAGAGAACCAACCCUGGGAGGGCAGGCACGAAUCCAUGUGUAUAUGUAUUCUCAAAUUUAAGUAGGUUGUACAUAUUGAAAUGUAAAUGACCUGUAAAACAGCCAACUAUUUUUCUUAACCAUUACAUAGCAGUCUAUAUUUGUUAAACAGCUUGUAUGCUCAUUAUUCACCACUCUAAUAUUUUGUACAGAUAAGUCAAUUAAAUCUUUUACUC
Molecule: long non-coding RNA, 2671 nt
Filed under: Mus musculus (house mouse)
Lineage: Eukaryota; Metazoa; Chordata; Mammalia; Rodentia; Muridae
Description: predicted gene, 48898
Source: RNAcentral